AUUGAACGCUGGCGGCAUGCUUUACACAUGCAAGUCGAACGGCAGCGCGGGCUUCGGCCUGGCGGCGAGUGGCGAACGGGUGAGUAAUACAUCGGAACGUGCCCAGUAGUGGGGGAUAGCUCGGCGAAAGCCGGAUUAAUACCGCAUACGACCUGAGGGUGAAAGCGGGGGAUCUUCGGACCUCGCGCUAUUGGAGCGGCCGAUGGCAGAUUAGCUAGUUGGUGGGGUAAAGGCCUACCAAGGCGACGAUCUGUAACUGGUCUGAGAGGACGACCAGCCACACUGGGACUGAGACACGGCCCAGACUCCUACGGGAGGCAGCAGUGGCGAAUUUUGGACAAUGGGCGAAAGCCUGAUCCAGCAAUGCCGCGUGUGUGAUGAAGGCCUUCGGGUUGUAAAGCACUUUUGGCGGGAACGAAAAGGACUGUGCCAAUACCACGGUUCGAUGACGGUACCCGCAGAAUAAGCACCGGCUAACUACGUG
RNAcentral lists this ribosomal RNA (484 nucleotides) under uncultured bacterium. RNAcentral describes it as "partial 16S ribosomal RNA". It matches the Rfam family "Bacterial small subunit ribosomal RNA", at positions 29 to 507 of the family's 1533-position model. The record is from RNAcentral.